RNAcentral lists this ribosomal RNA (497 nucleotides) under uncultured bacterium. RNAcentral describes it as "partial 16S ribosomal RNA". It matches the Rfam family "Bacterial small subunit ribosomal RNA", at positions 28 to 507 of the family's 1533-position model. The record is from RNAcentral.
GACGAACGCUGGCGGCGUGCCUAAUACAUGCAAGUUGAGCGCUGAAGGUUGGUACUUGUACCAACUGGAUGAGCAGCGAACGGGUGAGUAACGCGUGGGGAAUCUGCCUUUGAGCGGGGGACAACAUUUGGAAACGAAUGCUAAUACCGCAUAAAAACUUUAAACACAAGUUUUAAGUUUGAAAGAUGCAAUUGCAUCACUCAAAGAUGAUCCCGCGUUGUAUUAGCUAGUUGGUGAGGUAAAGGCUCACCAAGGCGAUGAUACAUAGCCGACCUGAGAGGGUGGUCGGCCACAUUGGGACUGGGACACGGCCCAAACUCCUACGGGAGGCAGCAGUAGGGAAUCUUCGGCAAUGGACGAAAGUCUGACCGAGCAACGCCGCGUGAGGGAAGAAGGUUUUCGGAUCGUAAAACUCUGUUGGUAGAGAAGAACGUUGGUGAGAGUGGAAAGCUCAUCAAGUGACGGUAACUACCCAGAAAGGGACGGCUAACUACGUG